UGAGGAAUUUUGCGCAAUGGGAGCAAUCCUGACGCAGCAACGCCGCGUGGGUGAUGAAGGCCUUCGGGUCGUAAAGCCCUGUCAGGUGGGAAGAAUGUCCCGGGACUGAACAGGUUCCGGGAGUGACGGUACCACCAGAGGAAGCACCGGCUAACUCCGUGCCAGCAGCCGCGGUCAUACGGAGGGUGCAAGCGUUAUUCGGAAUUACUGGGAGUAAGGCGCGUGUAGGCGGUCCUGCAAGUCUGAUGUGAAAGCCCCGGGCUUAACCCGGGAAGUGCAUUGGAAACUGUGGGACUUGAGUACUGGAGAGGAUGGGGGAAUUCCCGGUGUAGAGGUGAAAUUCGUAGAGAUCGGGAGGAAUAUCAGUGGCGAAGGCGCCCAUCUGGACGGUAACUGACGCUGAGACGCGAAAGCGUGGGGAGCAAACA
This 428-nucleotide ribosomal RNA is filed under the name uncultured prokaryote. RNAcentral's name for it is "bacterial SSU rRNA". It matches the Rfam family "Bacterial small subunit ribosomal RNA", at positions 355 to 774 of the family's 1533-position model. The record is from RNAcentral.